GACGAACGCUGGCGGCGUGCUUAACACAUGCAAGUCGAGCGGUAAGGCCCUUUCGGGGGUACACGAGCGGCGAACGGGUGAGUAACACGUGGGUGACCUGCCCUCAGCUCUGGGAUAAGCCUGGGAAACCGGGUCUAAUACUGGAUAUGACUCCAUGACGCAUGUUGUGGGGUGAAAGCCUUGUGCGGCUGAGGAUGGGCCCGCGGCCUAUCAGCUUGUUGGUGGGGUGAGGCCUACCAAGGCGACGACGGGUAGCCGGCCUGAGAGGGCGACCCGGCCACACUGGGACUGAGACACGGCCCAGACUCCUACGGGAGGCAGCAGUGGGGAAUCUUGCGCAAUGGGCGAAAGCCUGACGCAGCGACGCCGCGUGAGGGAUGACGGCCCU
Molecule: ribosomal RNA, 388 nt
Filed under: uncultured bacterium
Lineage: Bacteria
Description: bacterial SSU rRNA
Rfam family: Bacterial small subunit ribosomal RNA
Source: RNAcentral